UUUAAUUCGAGGUAGUUGGUAGUUGCGACAAAUCUAGAUUGAGCCUCUGUUCCUUUUUUGGUGUCUCAAAAUGGCAUACAUAAAUGUGUCUGUCAUGGCUAAACAGAAAAAGGAGAGAGAGUGCUUCUAUCAUCACAUCAUUAGCAAGAAAUGGGCGUUGGAACAAGUCUUCCUUGAAUUCUCAGUUAGAGCAUCCUCCUUUUCUGCAACAGCGAGAAAGCAAGCUUUAAGGGUGAAUUCGCCUUGGCGAACUUUAAAAAGACAUAAAAUACAUCUCGAUGAAAAUAGUUCCGUCUUAGGUUGUACCUUAUAUGGGCUAGUCUGUCACUACCAAAGUUAUAGUCAAGAUUGGGCGGAGGAUCAAAGAUCCCCAUUUUGGGUUCGAACAUUGUCUUUUCCAUCUUAGGUGGGUACAGAAGCUGCUGAUGAUGAAGAAAAACUCUCAAUCCUGGUUCGAGGCUAUGCUGCUUCUAAGCUCUCCUCACUUUCACGGCAAGAAGGCCAUAGCAGCGUUUAGGGCUGCAGGAUCUUUAAAGUAGGUUCGACCGCAUGCUACAGAGGAACGACAGAAGAAAAAAACAAAAAAAAAUUUAAGGCCGGCCGGCCAUACUAUUUUUGAAAAAACAUUUGGAAAAAAUCGGGUAUAGCUAUAAAAAAGAGAGAACAGACGCACAGCCCUUUGGCGCCCACGUGCCAAAUAGUACCGGCGUGCGGUUAUACUGGAAAAAUUAAAAAAACUGCGUCUAUCCGAGCGGCUGUAUUGGAAAAAUUAAAACAACUGAGUUUAGCCGUGCGGCUAUACUAUUUUUAAUAUUAAAAAAAACUAUUUAUCCGCCACGUGUCAAAACUAGUCUAUUUUUUAAAAAAAAUAACAAACACGGAGUAUAGCCGUGCGGCUAUACUAUUUUCCAAAAUAAGCGCCACGUGUUAAAAAUUAGUUUUUUUUGAAAAAAGUCGUAGUAUAGUCGCCCGGCUAUACUAUUUUAAAUACAUUAUAUUCAAAAGGUAUAGCCGUACGGUUACACUAUUUAAUAAAUAAAAAAAAUAAAAAAUAAAGGACUCUCCUAAUUGCAUUAGUUUGUACUUUAUACAAAUUAAUUUGCUAGUUUCAACAUAUCCAAAGUAAAUAUUAAUCGGCCACUAUAUAAUAUUGUAAUAUAAUUUUUAUAACGUAUAUUAUUCUUAUUCAAUAGUAUGUGAGAAUUAUUUGUAUAAUACGUGAAUUUUGUGUGUCUUAAUUCAAAAUUUGUAAAAAAAUACGUGUAUUAAACAUUAGAAAUACUUAUGUACAUGUACAAUACGACUAUUCCACAUUUCUCUUUUAAAAAACGUGAGACGUGUAUAAAUAUAAAAGACUAUAGUCACUCAUCUAUACUAUUUAUUAAAGACCUUUAUAUAUAUAUAUAUAUAUAUAUAUAUUUUUUUUUUCAAAAAGGUAAAGCCCGCCGGCUAAACUAGUUUUAAAAAAAAACAUUUGAAAAAAAUCGAGGAUGGCCGCACAACUAUACUAUUUACUAUAUAUAAAAAUAAAAAUAAAGAGAACAGACGCACAGCCUUUUGGUGCCCACGUGUAAAAUAGUCAGGAGAAAUAAAAAAACUGUGUCUAGCCGUGCGGCUGCACUGGAAAAAUUUUAAAAACUGAGUUCAGCCGUGCGGCGAUACUUUUUUAUAUUAAAAAAGACCCCUACCGAUUAGCCGCCACAUUUCAAAACUUGUCUAUAAAAAC
RNAcentral lists this long non-coding RNA (1726 nucleotides) under Prunus persica (peach). RNAcentral describes it as "long non-coding RNA (PPER_LNC005716)". The record is from RNAcentral. Lineage: Eukaryota; Viridiplantae; Streptophyta; Magnoliopsida; Rosales; Rosaceae.